CACAAUGGGCGCAAGCCUGAUGCAGCAACGCCGCGUGAGGGACGAAGGCCUUCGGGUUGUAAACCUCUUUUAGUAGGGAAGAAGCGACUGGGUUUUCCUGGGAGUGACGGUACCUGCAGAAAAAGCACCGGCUAACUACGUGCCAGCAGCCGCGGUAAUACGUAGGGUGCAAGCGUUGUCCGGAAUUAUUGGGCGUAAAGAGCUCGUAGGCGGUUUGUCGCGUCUGCUGUGAAAACCCGAGGCUCAACCUCGGGCCUGCAGUGGGUACGGGCAGACUAGAGUGCGGUAGGGGAGAUUGGAAUUCCUGGUGUAGCGGUGGAAUGCGCAGAUAUCAGGAGGAACACCAAUGGCGAAGGCAGAUCUCUGGGCCGUAACUGACGCUGAGGAGCGAAAGCAUGGGGAGCGAACAGGAUUAGAUACCCUGGUAGUCCAUGCCGUAAACGUUGGGAACUAGAUGUGGGGACCAUUCCACGGUCUCCGUGUCGCAGCUAACGCAUUAAGUUCCCCGCCUGGGGAGUACGGCCGCAAGGCUAAAACUCAAAGGAAUUGACGGGGGCCCGCACAAGCGGCGGAGCAUGCGGAUUAAUUCGAUGCAACGCGAAGAACCUUACCAAGGCUUGACAUAUACCGGAAACGGCUGGAAACAGUCGCCCCGCAAGGUCGGUAUACAGGUGGUGCAUGGUUGUCGUCAGCUCGUGUCGUGAGAUGUUGGGUUAAGUCCCGCAACGAGCGCAACCCUCGUCCUAUGUUGCCAGCACGUAAUGGUGGGAACUCAUGGGAUACUGCCGGGGUCAACUCGGAGGAAGGUGGGGAUGACGUCAAAUCAUCAUGCCCCUUAUGUCUUGGGCUUCACGCAUGCUACAAUGGCCGGUACAAAGGGCUGCGAUACCGCAAGGUGGAGCGAAUCCCAAAAAGCCGGUCUCAGCUCGGAUUGAGGUCUGCAACUCGACCUCAUGAAGUCGGAGUCGCUAGUAAUCGCAGAUCAGCAACGCUGCGGUGAAUACGUUCCCGGGCCUUGUACACACCGCC
This 1029-nucleotide ribosomal RNA is filed under the name uncultured Cryobacterium sp. RNAcentral describes it as "bacterial SSU rRNA". It matches the Rfam family "Bacterial small subunit ribosomal RNA", at positions 367 to 1394 of the family's 1533-position model. Lineage: Bacteria; Bacillati; Actinomycetota; Actinomycetes; Micrococcales; Microbacteriaceae. The record is from RNAcentral.